AGAGUUUGAUCCUGGCUCAGAUUGAACGCUGGCGGCAUGCCUUACACAUGCAAGUCGAACGGCAGCACGGGGGCAACCCUGGUGGCGAGUGGCGAACGGGUGAGUAAUACAUCGGAACGUGUCCUGUAGUGGGGGAUAGCCCGGCGAAAGCCGGAUUAAUACCGCAUACGAUCUACGGAAGAAAGCGGGGGACCGAAAGGCCCUCGCGCUAUAGGGGCCGGCCGAUGGCAGAUUAGCUAGUUGGUGGGGUAAAGGCCUACCAAGGCGACGAUCUGUAGCUGGUCUGAGAGGACGACCAGCCACACUGGGACUGAGACACGGCCCAGACUCCUACGGGAGGCAGCAGUGGGAAUUUUGGACAAUGGGGGAAACCCUGAUCCAGCAAUGCCGCGUGUGUGAAGAAGGCCUUCGGGUUGUAAAGCACUUUGGUCCGGAAAG
RNAcentral lists this ribosomal RNA (438 nucleotides) under uncultured bacterium. Its description in RNAcentral is "bacterial SSU rRNA". It matches the Rfam family "Bacterial small subunit ribosomal RNA", at positions 8 to 447 of the family's 1533-position model. The record is from RNAcentral.